Molecule: ribosomal RNA, 540 nt
Filed under: uncultured bacterium
Lineage: Bacteria
Description: bacterial SSU rRNA
Rfam family: Bacterial small subunit ribosomal RNA
Source: RNAcentral
GUGCCAGCCGCUGCGGUAAUACGGAGGGUGCAAGCGUUAAUCGGAAUUACUGGGCGUAAAGCGCACGCAGGCGGUUGAUUAAGUUAGAUGUGAAAUCCCCGGGCUUAACCUGGGAACUGCAUUUAAAACUGGUCAGCUAGAGUCUUGUAGAGGGGGGUAGAAUUCCAGGUGUAGCGGUGAAAUGCGUAGAGAUCUGGAGGGAAUACCGGUGGCGAAGGCGGCCCCCUGGACAAAGACUGACGCUCAGGUGCGAAAGCGUGGGGGAGCAAACAGGAUUAGAUACCCUGGUAGUCCACGCCGUAAACGAUGUCGACUUGGAGGUUGUGCCCUUGAGGCGUGGCUUCCGGAGCUAACGCGUUAAGUCGACCGCCUGGGGAGUACGGCCGCAAGGUUAAAACUCAAAUGAAUUGACGGGGGCCCGCACAAGCGGUGGAGCAUGUGGUUUAAUUCGAUGCAACGCGAAGAACCUUACCUGGUCUUGACAUCCACGGAAGUUUUCAGAGAUAGAGAAUGUGCCUUCGGGAACCGUGAGACAGGUAG